RNA transcript from Nomascus leucogenys (northern white-cheeked gibbon), 2878 nucleotides. It is a transcript of the gene named vitamin D3 hydroxylase-associated protein-like, with no coding region annotated. The record is from RefSeq and is a predicted model, not a curated record. The transcript has 8 exons. Lineage: Eukaryota; Metazoa; Chordata; Mammalia; Primates; Hylobatidae.
CCCUUCGAAUUGGCUACUAUGAAUCAGAUGGUUACAUCCAGCCAUCCCCUAGCACGGCCAGGGCUGUGCAGCUCACCUUCUGGCUGCUCCAGGAUGCAUGACACCAGGUAGUCUCACCUGGUCCUGGGUGAGAGAGAGGCCAGGCCAGUGUGAGGAUGCUGGGGGGGCCAUCCUUGGAGACAAAGGUUAUCCCCUUCUCCAUCCCCCAGGCAGAGCAUGCCAUCAAAGACUUGUACACAGCGGGGAUAUUUACUGAUGGAGGGGCCACUCUGCUAGAGAAGCUAGAGGGGGACAUUGUGGAUCUCAGCAUAAAGGGCAUGGUCAACCAGCUCUGCCUGCCAGACCCCGUCAAGUGUUUCUUGGACUGGAUCCCAAAGUACAUACCCCCUUCUAGGAUCCCCAAACUAGCUAGCAUCUUGAAGAGAUUCGUGGAGUGGGGACACCCAAGAAACUGUGGGAGCAGCACACAGCAGUGGAGGAAUAUCAGCAAGAGUUCAUAGCCAAGUGGAGGUCCCUGGACCUGGAUGUGCUGCUGGUGCCAGUUCUGGGCUCUGCCUUCUAUAUAGGCUCUUCCUCCCUAGCAUCAGAAAGCCAGUCUUACGUGACUCUGUACAACCUCCUGGCCUUUCCCGCGGGCGUGGUGCCUGUCACUAUCGUGACACUACAGGACGAGGAGGAACUGGCCUUCUACAAGGGCUGCUACGGAGAUAGUUCUGACAAAAAUUUCUCGGAGGCGGUAAGAGAAUCCGUCGGACUUCUGGUGACUGUGCAGUGCAUUGCUUUGCCAUGGGAAGAGGAGCUGUGUCUCCGGUUCAUGAAGGAGGUGGACACCUUGGUCAAGAAUCAGAGGGGGCCCAAGUGACAGGCUCCUGGAAUGGAGUAACAGCUCACGAAACAUGGGGCUGGUUGUGGUGGCUCAUACCUGUAAUCCCAGCAGUUCAGGAGGCAGAGGCUGGCAGAUCGCUUGAGGCCACGAGUUUGAGACCAACCUGGGCAACAUAGCGAGACCCUGUUUCUAAAGCAUUUUCUUGGUGUGACUCCUGUAGAUCCUCACCCAAGUGUGCUCCUGAUGCCCCUUCCUUCUCAUGAAUACCAUGUCCACCUUAUGUCUCCUCCUUCUGGAACCCCACCAGGUUCCUUUUCUUUGUUGGCCCCUCUGCAUGGGUGCUCAAUAUUCCUCAGAUGGGCCCGGGAUGCGGAGCAGGGUGAGGAGCUCAAUAAACUUUUCUGACUGGCCCCAGCCUCCUGAUCUCUGGUCUGGGUGAGGCUGUAAUCUCCUGGUGGUCUUCAGCCUCUAGCUGCUUUCCUCCAAUUCAGUCCCCCUGAUGCUACCCCAGACUGCAGUAGGGAAAGAGCCCCAAACAGAGAGGCUGGAGAUCUGGGUCCAAGUCCUGACUCUGUCCCUGACUUGCUGUGUGAUGCUGGGAAGUCCCUUCAUCUCUCUGGACCUGAGUUUUCUCAUCUGAGUUUCAGAUUGAGGGGGUUAGAUUUGAUAAGGUCCUAUGGUAUCUACCGGCUUGACCAUUCUGUGAGCUGUGAUUUCUAGGCACUGUCCUGAUUAAGAACUUGCCAUGAUUCCCACUGACGUCUGGAGAGGGCUCCAGAGAGCAGGGCUGAGACAGUGGAACCCAGUCAGAGUGGAGCUUGGGUUAGGACCUAGACCCCUGGCUCACAGAUCAGUGCUUUUGCCACAAAACACCAAUUCCUUGGUCUGACAUCAGCAUGUCUCCAGGAUCCUCCAUAGCCCCCUCUCCCAUGGCUCCACCACAGCACUGCCUCCUUCCGUUCCCUCAAACCGGAGCCUUCUCACCAGCACAAGCCCACCUUAUGCUUCUGGCUCCAUGUCACUAUGCAGACUGUUCCCUCCACCUGAACACCAUUGCUGUCCUCUGUGUCCUUCAAACCCUGUGUCAAAUACCACUUCCUCCAGAAAGCCUUUCUUGAUCCCUCCAACAUACCCCCCCCCAUUAUUUUCCCUUCAUCUGAACUCUCUUGAGAUCCUCCUCCCAUCAAAUCUCUCCCUUCCGCCAUCCCAUUCCUCUUUGUAGCCCUACUUCCACCAACUAUGCAAAUUAAUGAACUCACUUUUCCCUGUACUUGAUAGCACAGAUCUUCUGAAGACAAUGCAAAGGAAUGGAAUUCAUCCAUCCACGCUACAUUAUUUGAGUACCCCCUCUGAACACAAAUGUGAAAUUCAGGCAGAAAAAUCCUGACUUAAAAGAAUUUAACUCAGAUGAAGACCCCAGGAAUUGCACAGCAGAGGGGGCAGCCCUGCCUCUGCCUCCCAUAAGAAGGAACCACUCGGGGUGUCCAGGUGCAGGAUGGACAGGGCUAUUGCUGACGUCACGUGUCCCCCCACACCAAUUCUACCACAGAGUCUGAGAUCUCUGCAGGAGAGGGAGCCUCAGAGUUUCCCCUCAGACUAGGUUAGUAGGGCUGGUGCCCUGUGUUCCCUGCCCCGUACGAGGGAGGUCUGAGUAGCUUGGAAAAGGUGAGAGAUCUCAGGUGUCUCCUGCCUCUUGUUCCUGCAUCCCAUUGCUGGCUGCGGCAUUCUGGGCACCAGGGGGCAGCAUUGAGCUUCACAAGCCCCGGACAGCUCUUGCCCUCUGCUCUCAGACCCACUGUCGCUGCGACUUCUCGAGUGAGAUCCUUUGCUCGAACUCCAUUGCGCUGAUGGGGAAACUAGCGAGUGGAGGGACAGAGAUAGAGGGAUGCAGGAAUUAGCAGGCACUUUGGCUUUAGGUUAAAUAUUUGCAGAUUUUAAGAUGUAGGAGGUAGAAUUCUAUUUUGGCUGGAAUUAGCCUGGGGAAAAGGGGUGGCAGAUACCAGCUGGAAGGACUGAAUAAAUGGGAAGCCCUAUGCUAGGCGCAGACUUCUU